This 395-nucleotide long non-coding RNA is filed under the name Panax ginseng (ginseng). Its description in RNAcentral is "long non-coding RNA (PGIN_LNC008205)". Lineage: Eukaryota; Viridiplantae; Streptophyta; Magnoliopsida; Apiales; Araliaceae. The record is from RNAcentral.
UUCGAUUCAAACUUGAUAUAAAAUGCGGGACUUUCCAUUAUGGUCAAUAUCCAUCCUGAAUAGGAGCAUCAUAUAUAUACACAUACAAAAGUGAUAUUUUCACAUUAUCUCUCUCACAUAAAUAAUGAGUUGAGUUAAGUCUUAAAUCGCAUACUUACAUAUAUAGGAUUCAACUAUCAAAUAAAAGAAGGGCAACAAUUUGGCUUAUCGAUUUAGAGCGAAUUAUGUUGAGCAGAGGCGUGCAUCGCACUGUCUCUAAGUAGAAAUUUCGCCCCUCGGAGAACUUUUCUCGUUGCUAAGGUCACUGACGAAAUCCUACUUCAGGGUCAACGACUUUUCACCCAACUAAUCAUCACUUGAAAUAGUUGAAUGACCCAGGAACAACUUCUAUUUUU